ACAGAGGUGCCGAGCGUUAGGCGGAAUCACUGGGCUUAAAGCGUGUGUAGGCGGAUCGUUAAGUGCCUUGUGAAAUCCCACGGCUCAACCGUGGAACUGCUGGGCAUACUGCCGAUCUUGAGCCACUUAGGGGCAACCGGAACAAACGGUGGAGCGGUGAAAUGCGUAGAUAUCGCUUGGAACGCCGAAGGUGAAAACAGGCUGCUGGGGUCGCGCCGACGCUGAGACACGAAAGCCAGGGGAGCAAACGGGA
Molecule: ribosomal RNA, 253 nt
Filed under: uncultured prokaryote
Description: partial 16S ribosomal RNA
Rfam family: Bacterial small subunit ribosomal RNA
Source: RNAcentral